Molecule: long non-coding RNA, 109 nt
Organism: Alosa sapidissima (American shad)
Lineage: Eukaryota; Metazoa; Chordata; Actinopteri; Clupeiformes; Clupeidae
Exons: 3
Source: RefSeq, a predicted model, not a curated record
GUUGGCCUUCCAUCAACACUAAGAAGUCACAGUCAAGAAUCUUUUCUUCUCAUUGUUGGAAUGAUUUACCUAAUGCUCUUCAUUCUAGCGAGAGUUUUAGGAUUUAGAA